GACGAACGCUGGCGGCGUGCCUAAUACAUGCAAGUCGAGCGAAGUUUUUCUGGUGCUUGCACUAGAAAAACUUAGCGGCGAACGGGUGAGUAACACGUAAAGAACCUGCCUCAUAGACUGGGACAACUAUUGGAAACGAUAGCUAAUACCGGAUAACAGUAUUUCUCGCAUGAGAGAUAUUUAAAAGUUGGUUAUGCUAACACUAUGAGAUGGCUUUGCGGUGCAUUAGCUAGUUGGUGGGGUAAAGGCCUACCAAGGCGACGAUGCAUAACCGACCUGAGAGGGUGAUCGGCCACACUGGGACUGAGACACGGCCCAGACUCCUACGGGAGGCAGCAGUAGGGAAUCUUCCGCAAUGGGCGAAAGCCUGACGGAGCAACGCCGCGUGAGUGAAGAAGGAUUUCGGUUCGUAAAGCUCUGUUGUUAGGGAAGAAUGGAUAUGUAGUAACUAUACAUAUAAGAGACGGUACCUAACCAGAAAGCCACGGCUAA
This 492-nucleotide ribosomal RNA is filed under the name uncultured bacterium. RNAcentral describes it as "bacterial SSU rRNA". It matches the Rfam family "Bacterial small subunit ribosomal RNA", at positions 28 to 500 of the family's 1533-position model. The record is from RNAcentral.